CCAAUGGAUAAGGCGCCUGCCUACGGAGCAGGAGAUUCACGGUUCGAGUCCGUGCA
RNAcentral lists this transfer RNA (56 nucleotides) under Cryptomonas paramaecium. Its description in RNAcentral is "Cryptomonas paramecium partial tRNA". It matches the Rfam family "tRNA", at positions 11 to 65 of the family's 71-position model. Rfam says of the family: Transfer RNA (tRNA) molecules are approximately 80 nucleotides in length. Their secondary structure includes four short double-helical elements and three loops (D, anti-codon, and T loops). The record is from RNAcentral. Lineage: Eukaryota; Cryptophyceae; Cryptomonadales; Cryptomonadaceae.